This is a long non-coding RNA of Girardinichthys multiradiatus, 368 nucleotides long. RefSeq lists it as uncharacterized. The record is from RefSeq and is a predicted model, not a curated record. Lineage: Eukaryota; Metazoa; Chordata; Actinopteri; Cyprinodontiformes; Goodeidae. The transcript is spliced from 3 exons.
CGGAGCUCCACCCACUUGAUUUUCAGUAGAGGAUCACGUCUCUCCGGCGGGUUUUACCUUACAGGUGCUUUACAAUGGCUGGACUCAUAGGCCAAUGUUCCAGUCACGUUGCUGAAGACAGAACUAGUUUGAAUCAGUUCACCCCAGACUGCUUUGAGAACUCACAUCAGAACACGUCAGGAUUUAUAGAAACACUGAAGAAAUAUUCAGUCCCUACGGAAAUGGAGGUUGGGGGCGUGGCCAGAUACAGCUGAUUUGCAUAAAAGUGACAAAGCCCCAAAACAGCUCGUUCUGGAAGGAGCUUAAAAAAAGGGAACUGAGGAGGUGAAAUCUCAUUAUCUGAGAAUCUUUUUGUGCAAAAAAUGUAA